GUAGCUAAUUACAGAUACGGAUUUAAGUAUAUUAAUGACGUUUUUACGUAUACUCCAUCAAAUAGAGAAGAUUUGAUGAGGUUUCAAAUACGUUGGGAUGGAAUAGAAGAGCAGUCGAGAUGGAACGAAAGCGAAAACAAGUGGGUUCCAAUCCAACUACAGCCUGCUAAUGAGUGUGAACUCUACAAUUAUUGUGGCAAUUUCGGGAUCUGUACUGCAUCACCUAAUCCAAAAUGCACAUGUAUGGAAGGAUUUGAUCCAAGGAAUCCAGAGCAAUGGACAAAGGGGAAUUGGUCAGGUGGGUGUGUGAGAAAAACAGAAUUGCAGUGCCAGAGAAAUAUCAGUACAGCAGAACAAGAUGGUUUUAAAAAGUUUAGAUGCAAUAAAUUGCCAGAUUUUGCUUCUGUCUAUACUGGGGUCCUCUCGGAGGAUUGUGAGAAAAAGUGUUUAAGCAACUGUUCAUGUAACGCCUAUGCAGUAGUUGAAAAUAUUGGAUGCAUGAUAUGGAAUGGAGACUUGAUUGAUAUGCAGAAUUUUGGCAAACCUGGGAAUGCUAUGAAUCUACGUCUUGCUGCUUCUGAAUUUGAUGGCAAGAGAUUAUCUGCAGCUGUGAUAGCACUAAUUGUUGUGGCUGGGGGGGGCUUCUAGCUAUAUCUGUAUGGCUACUCUGGUGCCUAAAAAGAAAACUCAAAGUUUCAGUUUUGCCGACACCUACCUCCGUUUCAUUGAUGAGAAAGAAUGAGAUAACAGUUUCCGAUAUGAGCAAGAGUAAAGAAUAUUCAUCAGAGAUGUCUGGACCAGCUGACCUAGUCAUUGAAGGGAGCCAAGUAAAUGGUCCUGAUUUGCCAUUGUUCAAUUUUAAUUCUGUAGCAGCAGCUACAAACAAUUUUUCUGAAGAAAACAAGCUUGGCCAGGGGGGAUUUGGUCAUGUCUACAGGGGAAAGCUUCCUGGAGGAGAAGAAAUAGCUGUAAAAAGGCUUUCAAGAAUCUCUGGCCAAGGUUUAGAGGAGUUCAAGAAUGAAAUCAUACUGAUUGCUAAAUUACAACACAGAAAUCUUGUUAGAUUACUAGGCUGCUGUAUUCAGGGAGAAGAGAAGAUGCUGCUUUAUGAAUACAUGCCAAAUAAAAGCUUGGAUUUCUUUCUUUUUGACCCUGCAAAGCAGGCAUUAUUAGACUGGACAAAGAGGUUCAAUAUUAUUGAGGGGAUUGCUAGAGGUCUUCUUUAUCUUCAUCGAGAUUCAAGACUCAGAAUCAUUCAUCGAGACCUAAAGGCUAGCAACAUUUUGUUGGAUGAGGAACUAAAUCCAAAGAUUUCAGACUUUGGCAUGGCUAGAAUAUUUGG
RNAcentral lists this unclassified non-coding RNA (1342 nucleotides) under Hevea brasiliensis (rubber tree). The record is from RNAcentral. Lineage: Eukaryota; Viridiplantae; Streptophyta; Magnoliopsida; Malpighiales; Euphorbiaceae.